UUAGCAACAUUGAAAAUAUUA
Molecule: non-coding RNA, 21 nt
Organism: Caenorhabditis elegans
Lineage: Eukaryota; Metazoa; Nematoda; Chromadorea; Rhabditida; Rhabditidae
Source: Ensembl